Long non-coding RNA from Oncorhynchus keta (chum salmon), 487 nucleotides. RefSeq lists it as uncharacterized. The transcript has 3 exons. The record is from RefSeq and is a predicted model, not a curated record. NCBI's taxonomy places the organism in Eukaryota, Metazoa, Chordata, Actinopteri, Salmoniformes, Salmonidae.
GUUUAUAAUCUCCACCCGGCACAGCCAGAAGAGGACUGGCCACCCCUCAGAGCCUGGUUCCUCUCUAGGUUUAUAAUCUCCACCCGGCACAGCCAGAAGAGGACUGGCCACCCCUCAUAGCCUGGUUCCUCUCUAGGUUUAUAAUCUCCACCCGGCACAGCCAGAAGAGGACUGGCCACCCCUCAUAGCCUGGUUCCUCUCUAGGUUUAUAAUCUCCACCCGGCACAGCCAGAAGAGGACUGGCCACCCCUCAUAGCCUGGUUCAUCUCUAGGUUUAUAAUCUCCACCCGGUACAGCCAGAAGAGGACUGGCCACCCCUCAGAGCCUGGUUCAUCUCUAGGUUUAUAAUCUCCACCCGGUACAGCCAGAAGAGGACUGGCCACCCCUCAGAGCCUGGUUCAUCUCUAGGUUUCUUCCUAGGUUGGCUAAUGCCUUUCUAGGGAGUUUUUCCUAGCAACUGUGCUUCUACAUCUGCAUUGUUUCUGCA